Myotis myotis is the source of this 668-nucleotide long non-coding RNA. RefSeq lists it as uncharacterized. The record is from RefSeq and is a predicted model, not a curated record. The transcript has 3 exons. Lineage: Eukaryota; Metazoa; Chordata; Mammalia; Chiroptera; Vespertilionidae.
UCAUCAUUAUCAUCAUUGCUGACAUUUAUUGAGUGCCUACUAUGCAUCAGCCUCCCAGCGAUUAAUGCCUUCCCAUUUAUGACGUGAGAAGAAUGAGCAGCAUGUUACAGUUGGUCUUCUGUCCGUUUCUGAAGAGUGCCGUGCCAGGAUUUUGAUGUGCACUCUCGUUCUGGCACCAGGCUUCACACUUCUCACCCAGCACAGAGCCAGCUCACAGAUCCUGUUCGGCACAGCAACUCCAGACAUGCAGCCUGAAUUUGAAGGUGCCCUCUUAAAAUGUGGCAGGCACAGCCUCUCUCUUCAUAUUUGGAGCUCAGCUGCCUUCAGAGCAGCCUUGGAAGAGUUGUGUGUUACCUACUCACUGAAGCAAUCUCCAUAAAGCUCUUCCUGGGAUUUCUCCCAAGUAAGCUUCUGGCUUUUAAGUCCUUAUCUUAGGAUCUGAUUUUUAGGGAAGCCCUUAACAAUUGCACCAGACUUUGCUCCAGAAAUCAGACUCUUAGGACAUGAUUCUGGCAUUGGAUCUCUUGGCCAUCAGAUGACAAGGGCACAAUUGCUGAUGGUAAGUUGUAGAAAAUCUUUUAUGUACGGCACUAUCAUAGUUCCUUACAUCAACAAAUUUUAAUUGGUGUGUUGCAAGAGGCACACUGGUGUACUGCAAGAAUUUUUAA